GCAGUGGCUCAGUUGCAGAGCAUCUGCUUUGCAUACAGAAGGUCCCAGGUUCAAUCCCCACCAUCUCCA
Molecule: non-coding RNA, 69 nt
Organism: Podarcis lilfordi (Lilford's wall lizard)
Lineage: Eukaryota; Metazoa; Chordata; Lepidosauria; Squamata; Lacertidae
Source: the annotation of a GenBank genome assembly